UUGUAAUAAAACAAAAUGCCUAAAAUAUAUCUCGGGAUUUGUUUUUGACUCAUUAAACAGCGUGAAAAUCAGCCGACCGUGUCCAUAUAUCCACUAUCUAUUCUGUAUUCAUGGCAAAAUGCGCACUAUUAUUAAUUGAAUAAUUGGUCUGAGCGGCAACGCCUUGUUUGUAAUUAUAACAUAGUUAUUAAGUUUGUUGCUAUGCCGGUACGCGAUCUUUGGUUACCAACCAUCGAUUAGUCGGCUGCAGUGAUCGCUGCAUGUAUUUAGGAAUCCAACCCUCAACUCGAGACGGUGACGACGGUGAUGACGGGAAUCUUAAAAGGUCACGCUGAAAGCGGCGCGAUGACACGAGGCGGCCAUUCGGCAAGACAACGGGGCCGCGGUUCCCGCCAAAACGACAGCAGGCUGUGGCGCGAAGGCUCGCUAUUGGUCGGCGGCGUGUCGGGCGGCGGCGAGCAAGGCCGCCGGUUUUCCCGCGAACAAUGCCAAAUGGUGCAUUUGUCAAGGUGAGUUCGUUCACCGCUGACGCUUGCGCCGCUCCGCACCGUUCAGACAAUCGCUCACUCGCCUCGCGCCAACCGAAGGUCGAUGGAAGCCGACGCGCUAACAGUUUCACCUCAAUAAUAUCAUGAUUAUAACAGGUUAUCGCCGCAUUAAGACACGAAGUCACAUGUGUAUCGGAACGAAGUUUUAUUUAAGAAGAAAGAAGAAAAGUAUCAAGUGCUACGCCCGGACGAAAUUCCCAGCUCGGCCGACAUUCGCGGGUCGGUGGGAUCUUCGUCCGUGUUUAUCGCUUAUACGAAUAUACAACGUUGAAGAUACAGCAUGGAACUUGCACUUAAUGGAAGAUCCGAAGAUUCAACUCCCAGAUACAGCCAGCAACCAUAAAUACUAUACAAAAUACUUAUAUUUUUUUUAGUAUCGUACACAGGCUGCCGGCUGUUCUAAUGACAUCUGAAUAGACAAGAUAUGUCAAGAAGAUCGGAUACGGAUAUUGACAUUUUUUUAUUUUAAUAUUUUUAAACAUGCUAAUACUGAAUUAACAAAAUUUAUCUCUUUAAUAAAAGGCUUUAAAUUUUGCUAUAUUUAUAUAUGAGUAGGACUUUUCUCUUUAAUAUAGUUUUCUAUAUAUGUCUUAGUUUUAUUAAAGUGGCAACACCGUCAACUCGUCACAUACAAUAAUAUAAAUGUGUAUAUACUGACUAACUGUAAAACUAAGUCCCUUAUUUAAAUUAAAUUUUAAUUUAAAUCAAUUGUAAUAAAAUGUUGUUAUCGAUGUGUGUCAAACAUUGCUCACCUUUUUAAAUAUAUAUGAUAAUAUUUAAGAUUAAUAAAAUAUAAUAAGGUAUUAUAGGAAUUCAUUUGUUAUACAUUUGUGUGUGUAUAUAUUUAUAGUCUUACUUAAAACGGAGCAGCUCGGAUGUCAAUUGUAAAGAAGUUUUUCGAAGAAGUAAAAUAAAAGAAGCAUAAACUAAUAAUUAUUAAUCUAAUAUAUGUACAUUUAUAUCACGAUUACUUUACUUUGUAUAUCAUUUCAUAAUACUGUUCCGUUUCUAUAAUUACUGUUUUGGGAAUAGAUUUUUUUAUGUACAUACGUUAAAUUUUUAAAAUAAAAAAAAAAACCUCUAUUUUUUUUUCCUUUUGAAACGGCACUAACCGGACGGCAUUACUUUUAUGAACGUCUUAAGAAUUAUUUUUAUUUGACCUCAAAACACUGACAGCUAGAAACUAUUUCCUGCUAUAAAAAUUUAAACUAUUCUCUCCUUCGCUUUCCAUGAAUAUUUUUCAAUACUGAUUCAUCAUUACCAUUCAAUUAAUUGGUGAUUGAUUUUGAAUUACUUGUAGAACAAAGCGAGUAGAAUCUGAUUUUUAACUAAAACUUUAUCGACUUACUCAAUCAAUUAAUGCCAACUAUAUUUCAAUUAAAUUAAACUAAUUUAUUUAGAAAGUUGGACAGAACAGCUAUGUACAUAUAAUUUUUAUAUUUUACAAUUAAAUCUUAAAUUAUUAUAAAAUAUACCGUAAUAUAAUGAUUUUAAGGACAAAUUAUAUGAUAAAGUCAAACCAGAAACGGCUCUUAAUUCUAAUUUCCCGCUAUUAAAUCAUUUACACAGAAUAAUUGUCUCUUCCAUUUCUGGACAAGUUCGAACAUGUCGGUACAAGUUUAAGUUUCAAAAUGGCGUUCCAUCCGUUGAACGUACAUUAUGACUAACGAGGAAUAAACAGUCGGAUAAAUAAAUUAUUAAAAACAUAUAGUGAGUAAUUUGUACGAAAAAUGAAAAUUAUAAAAGUACUUAAUAGUUAUAUUUUAUUCCCAAACCCUAUUUGGUUCUAUAUUUGUUAUCCCGAUAUAAUUUCAUUUUCAGCAUGACAAAUAUAAUUGAUAUUUUUUUUUUUAAAUAAUUAUACCUUUUAUUAAAAAAUAAUUAUACCUAGUUUUAAAGGCUCCUGCCUAUAAUUGAGUCUGGACUUAAAUUAUAAAGAAUAGUAUACAUUGGAAUGUAUAACUAUACAGAACAUAGUAAUUAUUUGUGGCCAAAUUUUUAUAUAUAAUAUGAAAUGGUAAAGAUUUCGAGUUCCGAUAUUACCGAUGUUAAAUUUUCUUUCAACCAACGGCCGACUGCCGAAAAGAAUUAAAAAUAUACAAUUGCUUGGUGUGACUGAGAAACAGAAUAGUCUUUGUUAUUGAAAACACUGUAUUUUUUUUUUUACUUCUAUCGGACCGACCUCUAAUGUUAAAUAAUUGAAUCCUUUUACUUCACAAUAAACAUUUAAUUCAUGUU
Long non-coding RNA from Danaus plexippus (monarch butterfly), 2786 nucleotides. RefSeq lists it as uncharacterized. NCBI's taxonomy places the organism in Eukaryota, Metazoa, Arthropoda, Insecta, Lepidoptera, Nymphalidae. The transcript has 2 exons. The record is from RefSeq and is a predicted model, not a curated record.